UUGGAAAAUAGGCUUCAGGAGGAGAAAUGUAAUUGCCUUUUCUAUGUUUUCCUAUAUUUGAACUACAGGAACCUAUGAUGUGGCUCCUCUGAAUCAACUGCGCACAUUCCUUAGUUUUCCGUACUGCAGGGAGUCUUUAGAUCUGACGAUGGGCAAAACCUACCUUAUCAUGGGUUCAUCCAAAGAUAUUCAUAGAGAUGACAAAAACCUCUCGUAUCAGUAUGUGUUUGGUGAGAGAACCUGGAUCGAGUACUGGCCCACUGAAGCUGAGUGUAGAACUGAGGAACACAGACUUACCUGUCUGGGCAUGGAUGAGAUGGUUCAGCAAUACCAACUCUUUAACUGUGAGCCGCAAUGAAAAUCAAGGAAAUAAAGAGUAACUUUGAAAUCGU
Molecule: long non-coding RNA, 392 nt
Organism: Centropristis striata (black sea bass)
Lineage: Eukaryota; Metazoa; Chordata; Actinopteri; Perciformes; Serranidae
Exons: 2
Source: RefSeq, a predicted model, not a curated record